RNAcentral lists this long non-coding RNA (1227 nucleotides) under Panax ginseng (ginseng). RNAcentral describes it as "long non-coding RNA (PGIN_LNC014914)". The record is from RNAcentral. Lineage: Eukaryota; Viridiplantae; Streptophyta; Magnoliopsida; Apiales; Araliaceae.
CAUUUUAAGUAUUUAAUAUAGAUAUUGCUUUCAUGGUUUCCAAUAAUAAUAAUGUUGUUUCGUUGACUUCCAAAUCACAUAAGGAAUGUUUGCACACGGUUUAUGUUUAAUAAUGUUGCAAUUCCAAAUCCGAGCCACAAAGGCUCUCAUGCUCUGAAAGACCUCUUAAUAUAUCGAUCUUGCACAUAUGCUGCAAAAGUUCCAUCUUGAACCAUAUCCCCACAGAACUAGCACGUCACUAGGCGUAAUGGGCAGUCCGAGGAUUGGUCUUUCUCCUAGCUGAGGAAAAAAAAGAAGAAUGGUAUGAGAAGAGUGCAUAAAAUGCAAUAAAUCUGCAGCAAUUUCUUAUGAGAAUAAAAUAUUAAAAGACACAUUUGAUUGAAAAUUUAACUACACAAAGGAAAGAACUAUGUUAAAUGUUAUGUAUGGAAUUCUAUUAGGAACUGCAACUGAGGAAAGAAAGUCAAAAUAUCAAUCUUGACUGCCAAUAAUUUUUUAGGUUUUAAGUCCAUAAUAUUUAUCAUAGGCAGUACUAACGAUGAAAAGUUCAUAGACAAAUGCCAAAAUCUGAGGCAUUAGAACAGUAACAAGACAACAAACAACACAGAUUAGCAAUGCAGCAAUAGACACUAUUUUUAGAAACAAUGAUUGAUGCCAACUUGGACACCUAAAUCAAAAAAACAAAUGAAAGGCCCAAAGAAACAUGCUACCAAACAAACCUCUAGAAACCAAUCUGCUUAGCAGCUUGCCAACAAUUAUAAUCCAAAGGAGGUCAAGUCUAAACUUUUUGAAACAAGACAAUACAACUACAUAUUAGGAACAAUUAUGAACAAUCCAAUUAUUACACAAAGAUAACAAGCAUAUAAAUUCUCUUCUGACAUACAUACAUUGUAACUGUGGAACUAAUUAACUUCACAAAACAACAUCAUUCUCAUUGGCAUUUUUGCUAAAGAUACAAUUUCAUUCAUACAAAUUUAAGAAAAAGAAUAGAUAAAUAAAAUAAAAAAUGUAUAAAUUACUGAUAUAAAUAAACAAAUAAUAACAUAAUUUCAUUCAUACAAAUUUAAGAAAAAUAAUAGAUAUUGUAAAACCAACCUUAAACGUGUAACAUGUCCAAUUAAUCAUUAAUUCAGCUCAUGGUAAAAGGUGUCAUCAAUCAAUUGAUCGACACGAGAGCAAGUAGAAAGAACUCUGAUCACAAACUCUUUAGGGGCCAGCCACACUCCU